This is a non-coding RNA of Cinara cedri, 302 nucleotides long. Lineage: Eukaryota; Metazoa; Arthropoda; Insecta; Hemiptera; Aphididae. The record is from the annotation of a GenBank genome assembly.
CGCCCCCGUAAUUGUUUCUGCAUACGUGCCCGCGGGAAAAUUUGUUCGUCUGGCACGUGACGUAAUAAAGCAACAAAAGCAUUUUCCGCGCUUCCACGAAUGUGACGCUUUGAUUGAGUUCAGGUCAAAGAGACCCAUUAUGAGAUGCGAACCAAUGCCAAUAAGCCAAUAUGUUCGGCUCCGAACUAUUUAUGUAAUAACAACCUUUAGGGUUUUGGAUCGUUAUGCCAUCCUAUAAAGCACUGCUAUAUUAACGCAGCCGUGUUGUUGCAAUUUUAGCUACUCUUCUUCACAAAUAUUCC